UAACUUGAUAGAUAUAUGCAUC
Molecule: microRNA, 22 nt
Filed under: Schmidtea mediterranea
Lineage: Eukaryota; Metazoa; Platyhelminthes; Tricladida; Dugesiidae
Description: sme-miR-2163-5p
Source: miRBase by way of RNAcentral